RNAcentral lists this RNase P RNA (367 nucleotides) under Waddliaceae bacterium. Its description in RNAcentral is "RNase P RNA component class A". It matches the Rfam family "Bacterial RNase P class A". Rfam says of the family: Ribonuclease P (RNase P) is a ubiquitous endoribonuclease, found in archaea, bacteria and eukarya as well as chloroplasts and mitochondria. Its best characterised activity is the generation of mature 5'-ends of tRNAs by cleaving the 5'-leader elements of precursor-tRNAs. The record is from RNAcentral. Lineage: Bacteria; Pseudomonadati; Chlamydiota; Chlamydiia; Parachlamydiales; Waddliaceae.
CUGGGAAGACAGGCAAUCGCUGCACCAAUCAUCAGGGUUGGUGGAGAGGAAAGUCUGGACUUCGCAGGAGAGGAUGCCAGCGAAAGGCUGGGGGCUGAAAGGCUACGGAAAGUGCAACAGAAAAUAUACCGGUGCGGGUUUCGGCCCGCAUACAGGGUGAAAUACUAUCUUUAAGAGUUAGUCUCAUCUAGGGGAACCUAGAGAGCUGUAAACCCCAUCCGAAGCAAGACGAGGAGGCGCAAAGCUCUCUCCGAGCUGCCACCGUAGAGUCGCUUGAGAACUUUGCUAACAAAGUUCCUAGAUAAAUGAUUGCCCGUCAGUACACUGUACUGCUCGACAAGAUCCAGCUUAUCGUCUUCCCAGCUUU